GUUUUUUAUUGAACAAAUUUCUUUGGUGGCGGGAGCAAUCCUACCGCCAGAGGUUAUAACUAAACCAAACUUUUUAUUUACAGUCAAACUUGAUUUAUUAUUACAAUAGUCAAAACUUUCAACAACGGAUCUCUUGGUUCUCGCAUCGAUGAAGAACGCAGCGAAAUGCGAUACGUAAUAUGAAUUGCAGAUAUUCGUGAAUCAUCGAAUCUUUGAACGCACAUUGCGCCCUUUGGUAUUCCAAAGGGCAUGCCUGUUUGAGCGUCAUUUCUCCCUCAAACCCCCGGGUUUGGUGUUGAGCAAUACGCUAGGUUUGUUUGAAAGAAUUUACGUGGAAACUUAUUUUAAGCGACUUAGGUUUAUCCAAAACGCUUAUUUUGCUAGUGGCCACCACAAUUUAUUUCAUAACUUUGACCUCAA
RNAcentral lists this ribosomal RNA (420 nucleotides) under Candida tropicalis. RNAcentral's name for it is "eukaryotic LSU rRNA". The stretch from base 114 to 267 matches the Rfam family "5.8S ribosomal RNA". Lineage: Eukaryota; Fungi; Ascomycota; Pichiomycetes; Serinales; Debaryomycetaceae. The record is from RNAcentral.